Molecule: long non-coding RNA, 2150 nt
Organism: Myzus persicae (green peach aphid)
Lineage: Eukaryota; Metazoa; Arthropoda; Insecta; Hemiptera; Aphididae
Exons: 3
Source: RefSeq, a predicted model, not a curated record
GGAAGUUAUUAACUAAAAAAAUGUAGAUAAUGCUAUAAUACAAUAACUGUAGGAAAGCAGCGGCUUGCGAUGAUUUAUGACACAAUAAAUCCUCGUUACAUUACGAACAUUGAAAAUAAAUUUUUUUUAGUAUAACGAAUUCAUAUAAUUGAAUGAAUGCUGCCGGAAUAUAAUAUUUUCAUAGUAACAAAAAUAUAAUAAUUAUAUUUUGACAGACUGAUAUAUAAAAAAAUGUGACACAGUUUCUGUGAUAGUUUUCAGUUCCCCUUAAUAGUCUAUUCAUUCCAAAUAAUCCCAUUAUGCUGCACGAAAUGUUCAAAAUUGUAGGUACUUCCUAUCUGGGGAUGAGGAGAUCAAGCGUCAUCUACAAUCCUAGAUACUGCAAUGUAUAUUGGUAUGUACCUACAAAAUCAUUGCAAGAUUGGUUUUUAUUUAUAUUUCGGGUACUUAUUUAGAUUUGUUUCUUUUUCUAUAUGAGUAAUGUUUUCCUCUAAAAGUCUAAAUUAUGAAAUUUUAUUUUAUUAUAAUAAUGCACUUGGGCUUUAAGUGGUAAUAAUUCUUCUAAAUUUAGGCAAGAUUUUUAAUAGAUAAAUAUUCAUAGUAUCUUGUCUUGUAAGUUUAGUAUUAAAGUUAAAUAUUCAACCCAUUUUAUAAUAUAUUUUUUCCCAUAACUUAGUCUCUUACAUAGUUACAUCGAAUGUAUCGACUGUUUUCGCACUUUACGAAGAUAAAUAAUUAUAAGUACUUUUAUAUACUUAAUAAUAAUGUUGUGUUUUAUAGAAUCUAAUAAACGUUUUUAUUUAGAAAUUUAGAAUUUAUUUAUUUAUAUUUAAUUUAUCUACUUAAGCGUAUAACAUAAAACACUUCAUUACAAUAAUAAACUACACAAGUGUAGUAUAGUAAUACCACAUUGGCACAUUGUUACGUUUAUCUCCGUAGAUAAGUACAAUACGCUCAACAACACACAUCCACAAACAAUUUAAAAAAAAACAAAGAGUUAUGAAGGUUUUUAACCACUGUAAUGACUGUUAUUUUAAUUCAAUGCAUUUAAUGAUAUUAAUUACAUUAGAAUGAAUUCUACAGUAGUUAUUAGAAUUUCGAAUUGUAAAAAUGUAACAGUUUCCCGAGCACAACGUCAAGUAUAAGAUAAACUAAGGAGAUAAUAUACCUUUAGAAGGAAAACCAUAGAAUAAUGUUACACUCAGAGUAUAAGGUCUAUAGGGGGAAAACAUAUUUCGGUCAAUAUUUUAGCUAUUGCCAAUAUUAUAGCCGCGAGAAAAUUCUAAAUUCCACUAUAUAUAUCGCGACGAUAAUAGCAUAAUAAUUAAUAUGCGACCGGCAAAAAUGGGAAUGGAUAGAAUAACAUAAACAGGUAGGCAUAAUAAUGAUAUUAAAAUAGGUACUACGAGACGGUCGAAAUGACGCCGACCGCGAGACGUGUACUCGUUGCACGGUCGCGGGACACGUACCCGCGUAGGCAUAUACGAUUUCCGUCAGUCAGUCUCGUCGGGCGCUCGUCGAGUAGUCGGAUGCGCUGCACGACGACCGACGGCGACGAUGCGCUCACGUCACAAACGAUAUAAUAAUAUAAUAAAUGAUAAUGUAACAUUAUUGUAACGUCCGUGGACGGAUUGCGGCGGCCGUAAAUAUUCGGCGUGAGCGCUGUGCGAGAGGGCGACCAUGGGCGAGAGCCAUCAUCCGCGCCGGGCAGCACACAGGCAUUCUUCGGCGACCUCAUCUCCGCCGCCGCCGCCGCCGCCGCCGCCAUUCAUGUCUUCUUUCUUUUUUCGAAGCUCGCACGCACGCACGCACACACCACGGCCAGUGUACGAUACCAGGAAUAUGAAGAAAAGAACAACUAUAUAAGUUAAUAGUAUUGUGCAUUAUAGUAGUUAUAUGCCCGUGCUCUAUGAUUUCAAAAUUACUCAAAAGAUCCAGAUAUCAAUGAACAAUAAUUAAACUUCGAUAGAACAUACAUCAAUGGACUUACAAGAGAAUUUAAGAAUUACUACAAAAUCGAAUGGCUUGGCAUCAUUGGGUUCUUCACUAAAAUACUAUCCUUUAUAAAUUUAUAAUAUAAAGUUCAUAAUCCUAAGAAAAGAAACACAGGUAGAACAAAAUAUAAGUAAAAGAUAAAUUGAUAUUUUGCA